This 285-nucleotide small RNA is filed under the name Veronia pacifica. Its description in RNAcentral is "Enterovibrio sp. sw014 5' ureB small RNA". It matches the Rfam family "5' ureB small RNA". The record is from Rfam by way of RNAcentral. Lineage: Bacteria; Pseudomonadati; Pseudomonadota; Gammaproteobacteria; Vibrionales; Vibrionaceae.
CUUCUUCUAUUUGCUGAGGACAAAUAAAGUGAAUGUGGGCAUCGAUACCGCCCGCUGUCAGGAUACACCCCUCACCUGCCAAUAUUUCAGUGCCCGGACCAAUGACAAUAUCGACACCACUUUGCACAUCAGGGUUACCCGCCUUGCCUAUCGAUGAUAUCAAGCCAUCUUUGACUGCUACGUCGGCUUUUACUAUGCCCCAAUAAUCGAGAAUAACAGCAUUGGUGAUCACUAAGUCUGGUGUUUCAGCGCUGGGCCUCUGGCUUUGACCCAUACCGUCACGGG